This 513-nucleotide ribosomal RNA is filed under the name uncultured bacterium. Its description in RNAcentral is "partial 16S ribosomal RNA". It matches the Rfam family "Bacterial small subunit ribosomal RNA", at positions 30 to 523 of the family's 1533-position model. The record is from RNAcentral.
AUUGAACGCUGGCGGCAUGCCUAAUACGUGCAAGUCGAGCGAACAGAUGAAGUGCUUGCACUUCUGACGUUAGCGGCGAACGGGUGAGUAACACGUAAGGAAUCUACCUAUAAGCGGGGGAUAACAUUCGGAAACGGGUGCUAAUACCGCAUAAUAUCUUCUUCCGCAUGGAAGAAGAUUGAAAGACGGCUCUGCUGUCACUUAUAGAUGACCUUGCGGUGCAUUAGUUAGUUGGUGGGGUAAUGGCCUACCAAGACGAUGAUGCAUAGCCGACCUGAGAGGGUGAUCGGCCACAUUGGGACUGAGACACGGCCCAAACUCCUACGGGAGGCAGCAGUAGGGAAUCUUCCGCAAUGGGCGAAAGCCUGACGGAGCAAUGCCGCGUGAGUGAAGAAGGCCUUCGGGUCGUAAAGCUCUGUUAUAAGAGAAGAACAAAUUGUAGAGUAACUGCUACAGUCUUGACGGUAUCUUAUCAGAAAGCCACGGCUAACUACGUGCCAGCAGCCGCCGUAA